GUAAAUAAAACCCUAGAUACUUGAUUUUGUUGUGUUGAGCAUUCGAUCUACAGGAAAUAUCUUACUAGAAAGAAAGUAUCAUCGUCUCACACAGGCAUGAAGUAUUUGAUCUUCGUUGUGAGAUGGGAAUAGAAGAAGCUAGAUAGUGACAGUUCUGUUCGCUUUCGCCGACUAUCUUUAGCAGCAUGCAGGACAAGCCAGGACCAUGCCUCAUCGUCAUGGUAUUGCUGCCUCAACCUUAACUUUAGACAUUGCGUUUGGCUCAUACUGAAUAUUCAAUUCCCUGAAAGGGAAUAAUAAAAACCAGAAUCAUACUCUUGAUAAUAGUAGAUUCGUUUUAAACUGUUUGAUGGGAAUCGAGAUGUCAUUUACUCUUCAAACAAAUACUUUGGUUUGGUGCAUUACCCUAAAUGGAAAUUAGUUCCUUAUUGAACAUGUAUGAUUGUAUGUAUUUCAUUUAGUAUAAUUUGAAUGGUGUAGCCUAUCUUAGUUUACUGCAGCAGCAUGAUGUGUUAUUAUUUGACGGAGUAAUUAGAAUGGACAGGGCUUUUCUAUGAAAGAUGUGUUUGCUACGUAA
Molecule: long non-coding RNA, 577 nt
Organism: Vigna unguiculata (cowpea)
Lineage: Eukaryota; Viridiplantae; Streptophyta; Magnoliopsida; Fabales; Fabaceae
Source: RefSeq, a predicted model, not a curated record